This 437-nucleotide ribosomal RNA is filed under the name Thermococcus sp. LS2. Its description in RNAcentral is "bacterial SSU rRNA". It matches the Rfam family "Archaeal small subunit ribosomal RNA", at positions 60 to 489 of the family's 1478-position model. The record is from RNAcentral. Lineage: Archaea; Methanobacteriati; Methanobacteriota; Thermococci; Thermococcales; Thermococcaceae.
GGGUGUCCCUUCUGGGACACCACCGGCGGACGGCUCAGUAACACGUCGGUAACCUACCCUCGGGAGGGGGAUAACCCCGGGAAACUGGGGCUAAUCCCCCAUAGGUGUGGGGUACUGGAAGGUCCCCACACCGAAAGGGGCUUCGUGCCCGCCCGAGGAUGGGCCGGCGGCCGAUUAGGUAGUUGGUGGGGUAACGGCCCACCAAGCCGAAGAUCGGUACGGGCCAUGAGAGUGGGAGCCCGGAGAUGGACACUGAGACACGGGUCCAGGCCCUACGGGGCGCAGCAGGCGCGAAACCUCCGCAAUGCGGGAAACCGCGACGGGGGGACCCCCAGUGCCGUGGCAACGCCACGGCUUUUCCGGAGUGUAAAAAGCUCCGGGAAUAAGGGCUGGGCAAGGCCGGUGGCAGCCGCCGCGGUAAUACCGGCGGCCCGAGU